RNAcentral lists this unclassified non-coding RNA (315 nucleotides) under plant metagenome. RNAcentral describes it as "partial contains 5.8S ribosomal RNA, internal transcribed spacer 2, and large subunit ribosomal RNA". The stretch from base 1 to 106 matches the Rfam family "5.8S ribosomal RNA", at positions 49 to 154 of the family's 154-position model. The record is from RNAcentral.
CGAAAUGCGAUAAUUAAUGUGAAUUGCAGAAUUCAGUGAAUCAUCGAGUCUUUGAACGCACAUUGCGCCCCCUGGUAUUCCGGGGGGCAUGCCUGUCCGAGCGUCAUUGCUGCCCUCAAGCACGGCUUUUGUGUUGGGCUUCCGUCCCUGGCAACGGGGACGGGCCCAAAAGGCAGUGGCGGCACCAUGUCUGGUCCUCGAGCGUAUGGGGCUUUGUCACCCGCUCCCGUAGGUCCAGCUGGCAGCUAGCCUCGCAACCAAUCUUUUUAACCAGGUUGACCUCGGAUCAGGUAGGGAUACCCGCUGAACUUAAGC